UACGUAGGGGGCGAGCGUUGUCCGGAAUCAUUGGGCGUAAAGAGCGUGUAGGCGGCCAGGUAGGUCUGGUGUGAAAACUCGAGGCUUAACCUCGAGAUGUCAUCGGAAACCAUCUGGCUAGAGUCCGGAAGAGGAGAGUGGAAUUCCUGGUGUAGCGGUGAAAUGCGCAGAUAUCAGGAAGAACACCAAUGGCGAAAGCAGCUCUCUGGGACGGUACUGACGCUGAGACGCGAAAGCGUGGGGAGCGAACAGG
RNAcentral lists this ribosomal RNA (253 nucleotides) under uncultured bacterium. Its description in RNAcentral is "partial 16S ribosomal RNA". It matches the Rfam family "Bacterial small subunit ribosomal RNA", at positions 524 to 776 of the family's 1533-position model. The record is from RNAcentral.